This is a long non-coding RNA of Medicago truncatula (barrel medic), 587 nucleotides long. RefSeq lists it as uncharacterized. The record is from RefSeq and is a predicted model, not a curated record. The transcript has 3 exons. Lineage: Eukaryota; Viridiplantae; Streptophyta; Magnoliopsida; Fabales; Fabaceae.
CACAUUUGAAUUUCAAAUUUCAAAAUUCUUUUCUAUAAGAUUCAAUACUUUUACAAAUCUGUUCUUUCAUUUUUCUCCUCUCUCACUUUCUUAUUUUGCAGCAAAUGUAAAGGAAAUGUAAGAUCAUUCAACAUGCCAUGUUCUAUAUCCAAGCUAUUGAUGUUGCGGUUGUCUCCAAAAAAAGUUGCUCCGGUCGUAAUUUUCUGUUGUGGAUGUUUAGGGUAAGCAAAAUAUCACUUUGAUUUUUGCAGAGGAGUCUGACGGUGGCUGCAGAAUCGGAGAGAAAUUGGACUCAAUAUUCAUACUUUCCUCGAUCUCAAAAUAAUGGUGGCUUUAUUUAUAUGUACAGUGGUCCGAGUUAGUUGCAGAUGAAGGUAGAAGGAGGUUUUCAUGGUUUGUGGGGGCAGAUAAGAAGAAGAUACGGCGGAGAGAGAGAGAAGAAUUUCUUCAGUCUUUGGUUAAUGGGAAAUGAAAAUUAGGGUUUGUUAUGGAAAGUUAUCUAUUGGGCUUUUUUCAGAAAUGUGUUGGACUUCGACUAUUUUUUACACGGUUUGGGCCUAACCAUGACAAUUAUUCUAUUUUUUAAA